This 682-nucleotide ribosomal RNA is filed under the name uncultured bacterium. Its description in RNAcentral is "bacterial SSU rRNA". It matches the Rfam family "Bacterial small subunit ribosomal RNA", at positions 41 to 717 of the family's 1533-position model. The record is from RNAcentral.
GGCGCGCCUAAUACAUGCAAGUCGAGCGAGAAGACGUAGCAAUACGUUUGUAAAGCGGCGAACGGGUGAGGAAUACAUGGGUAACCUACCCUCGAGUGGGGAAUAACUAGCCGAAAGGUUAGCUAAUACCGCAUACGACUCCUGGUCUGCGGAUCGGGAGAGAAAGCGAUACCGUGGGUAUCGCGCUCCUGGAUGGGCUCAUGUCCUAUCAGCUUGUUGGUGAGGUAACGGCUCACCAAGGCUUCGACGGGUAGCUGGUCUGAGAGGACGAUCAGCCACACUGGCACUGCGACACGGGCCAGACUCCUACGGGAGGCGGCAGUAAGGAAUAUUGCGCAAUGGGCGACAGCCUGACGCAGCGACGCCGCGUGGGGGAUGAAGGUCUUCGGAUUGUAAACCCCUUUCGGCAGGGAAGAUGGAACGGGUAACCGUUCGGACGGUACCUGCAGAAGCAGCCACGGCUAACUUCGUGCCAGCAGCCGCGGUAAUACGAAGGUGGCAAGCGUUGUUCGGAUUUACUGGGCGUACAGGGAGCGUAGGCGGUUGGGUAAGCCCUUCGUGAAAUCUCCGGGCCUAACCCGGAAAGUGCGGAGGGGACUGCUCGGCUAGAGGAUGGGAGAGGAGCGCGGAAUUCCCGGUGUAGCGGUGAAAUGCGUAGAGAUCGGGAGGAAGGCCGGUGGCG